Molecule: long non-coding RNA, 3470 nt
Organism: Zea mays
Lineage: Eukaryota; Viridiplantae; Streptophyta; Magnoliopsida; Poales; Poaceae
Exons: 2
Source: RefSeq, a predicted model, not a curated record
CUCUGACAUGUCAUCAUCAGCAUUUGCAUUAACUUGCUUGAUACACUUAGAAUGCAUUCACUAGGAUCCAAAAUAAUCUAAGUAUGAUGUUGUGAUUAGUGAAGAGUGAAGGACCUGGUUUUGAAAAUCUCAAUUUAGAGCUCCAAAAGUGGAACUUGUGAUUUGGCAAUAAUUUGCCAAAAGGUCAAAUUACCAAAUUUAUAGAGUUCUCCAACCCAAACAACUUUCAGGUAUAGAUAUUUCCAUGUUUUAUAGGAAGAAGUGGAGAAAACUCAAAAAUUAACUUUUUGGACCUAAGGUUGGAUGGCUGGAAACAAUAUCAAGUAGCUGUCUUUGAAUCUUCAUAACUUUUGAUAUAUAGGCAAUUUGAAGAUGGUCACAGUAGCAAAGCUGUAGAGCUACACUAAAUGUGUAAUUUUGUUUAAGCUACUUAACCCUAAGUUCAUAUAGAACUAGGUGGAAAACUGGUCCAAAGUGGGAAUGUCAGAAUCUAAAUUUCAGACUGCAAUAUCUGAAACUGAAGAUUUUAUAUGCUGAAGUAACUUUGGAAGCCUGUUGGUGGCUGAUCCAUACAGCUAUGGGUUACAGUUUAUGUACCAAAGUGGAAGACCACAUGUUGAGGUAUAAGUUUGGUUAAGGUUCAUACCCCUGAAACUAUUUGGAACUGGUAGAAACAGUGGUCCAAAAAUGUAGUGUUUAAUUCUGGAUUUUCAGACUUAGUGAAAAAUCAAAGUCUGAAUUUGUGUGUUUAAUGCCAACUUUGGGCUUUGAUGGUUUGGAAUCCAUAUUGUUCUAACUAAGGGACAUUGUACCAAACUUGUGGAGCAACAUGUGGAGCACCAAUUUGAUUAAGCAACUUGGCCUCAGAAGCAUUUGGAACUUGGAGAAAAGGGUGAGGUUAUCUCGUUUCGAAGAGAGCAAGAGAAGUUCAGAGACUUUGUUUGAAAUCUACAAACAAGCAACUUUUAAACUAAUGGAAAUUUGGACAUGAGCUCUAUACACCAAAGUUGGGUUUGAGCUUAAGGUUAACCUUGUUUUUAGUAGGAUGCAAUAAAUUGAUGAAGCUCUUGAAGCAGAUCAAGUCCAAUUUCAACUCUAAACUAGCCCAAAAGUGGAUUUUAAGAUUUAGCUAUGUUUUGCUAAAAGUCCGUAUAUAAAAGUCGUGGAGCUUGGAAAAGUGAAUGAUUUUCAUAUUUGGAGCUCUCCAAGUGAUGUGGGAGAAUUUGAAGUAAUUUGCAAAAAUUCAGAUUUGGGUCAGUUGGAAUCAGCCCAAAACAGUUUUGUUUAUCUGUAUUUGGAUCCCUGUAACUUUUAAUCCAUGAGUAUUUUGGAAACAGUUGUUAUAACAAACCUGUAGAGUAACUAUAGGAGAACAAUGUUUAUGAAAUGUAGCAGCCCUAAAACCAUAUGCAACUAGGAGAAAAAGGUGUUCAAAGUGGGACUGUCAGACUUAUGGAUUUUCAGGCUUCGAAUAGUUGCCAAAGUCUGAAAUCAGUGUUUUUAGUGCCAUUUUGGGGCUGUGUGUUGCCUGUUCUAGGAAGUUUUGGACCAUGGUUGCUAUGGGAGAGUUGAAGAGCAUAUGUCAGUGAACAAAUUUCGUUGUGUGAGUUAGGCUUGAUCUGACCCAGAACAUGGAGUACAAGUUACCCAAAGUGGGGCUGAUAGUUUUUUUCAGUUUUCAGACCAGGAACAGAAGGUUAAGUCUGAAUUGCAGUGUUUGUGCUGUUUUUGGAGCUCAUUUGUGGAAAAUCUAAGGAGCUUUGGGCUGAGACGUCUAUAGAGGAGUUAAAGACCACAAGUUAGUGUACAAAUUCAUUUAAUGGGAAUGGGUGUAAUCCUACGCAAAAUGUGGAGAAAAUGUGGCUCAAAAUUGGACUGUCAGUUUAAUUGGGCUGAAUUUUGUUCUGUCUCUGAAAUCUGAAUUUCAGUGUAGAAUGCCUAGUUUGGAGCUGUUUUGUGAUCAAUAUGAGUGGUUUUAGACUGUAGUUUCUAUAGAAAACUUGGAGACCACAGUAUGGCGAAUACGUUUCAUAAGGUGAGAUUGACAUGGUGCUACAUAAAAAGUAGAGUAAUGUUUGCCUAAAGAUCAGUUGUCAGGUGUUGGGGAUUUUCAAACAGUAAAACAUCUAAGUCUGAAUCUGUGUGUUUUUACCCACCUUUGGAGCUAUGUGGUAAUUAAUCCAAAGAUAUUUGGGUUAAGAGUCUGUAGCAAAAUGAGAGACCUGAUAUAGAUAAUCAAGGUUUGUGCAAUGAGUUGGCUUGCUACUGUAUAGAACUUGGAGAACAGCCUAUUGCAAAUCCCUCUGUCAGACUUAAACUGUGCUGUCCAGUUAGCUGAAUUUGGACUUUUCAGUAUUUAUACUCUACUUUAGCGCAUCACAACUUUUUAUUUGAAUAUUUCCAACCUAUGGGCGUUAUACCAAAGUGAAAGAACUAUGCUUAGGGAGUAAAUUUAGUUAAGGGAGAUGGGCCUGUUGCUAAGAGAAUUUGUGACAUAAAAGGGGAUCAAACAGAGAGCUGGGCAAUGGGCAGUGUGGCUGAUUCAGUGGAUUCAGAAGAUUGAAACUAUGUUUCAGUGAAGUAUAGCCGUUCAGAGGUUCCAAAUAUCUGAAGGAAAAAUUACCUUUCUCCAUGUGCUGGCCGAUGGCCUUUAUCCCCUAGCCGUUUCUCCUUAUCCCCUCCCUGCCACACAUUUUCUAUUAUCCUUAGGUCGACCAAAUCCUUAGAAUGCUCCUGUUCUUAUCCAGUUGAGGUCUAGAAGCUUACUCAUGUACGCUCCUUCUCAUGCAAGAAGACGUACUCAAUUUCUACUCUCUUCUAUCAGUCUCCUCACUCCUAUCUCUCAUGUCUCCUUUUCCUCCCACCGUUCCUGUCACCCACGCAGCACGCCGGAGCAGCAGUAGCAGUCGAGCUCGGCAUCAGCUCCCUUGCUGCUCACUUUGCAGCACCUCGCCAGCUCCCUGGUAACACUCUGCACCUGCCGUCGAACUCUCUCAGGUUCGGUCAUCCCUGCUCCCUUCCAAAUCAACGCCCCUCCACUCGACUCUACUACUGUGUCGUGCGCGCGCUUCCUCCAGCUUCCGUCGCUGGGUGCGUGCUCAUCUUCCGUCGCGUGCCACCUGGUCGAUAGAAUGAGCAGUUUGGUCGUCCCCAUCUCGCCGUGGUUCGUCCUCACCAUGUUUUCAGAUGUGUUUGGGCUGAGAUGCCAUUCAAAAUCGAUGAUCUGUUCGUCGCCACCGGCCGCAAGCACCAGUUUUGUUGAACGUGAGAACGUCUUAAUCUGUUGAUAUGAGUUGAAAAUUGAUGUGUCGAUCUGUGGUUUGACCUAGUGUUCUCGUCAUGUCUAUGUUCUGGUCGAGGCCCUAGAUACGUGAUUGAAGAUCCUUUGUGGUGAUGAAGGUGAAAUCAGCAUAGCACUCGCCAAGCAUUCUACAGAAGAGCUCCCAAAAUAAAGAGUGAAGAUUUAAGAU